Molecule: long non-coding RNA, 1532 nt
Organism: Gallus gallus (chicken)
Lineage: Eukaryota; Metazoa; Chordata; Aves; Galliformes; Phasianidae
Source: Ensembl
GUUGCAUACAUUUCUUUUUGACUCUACUGUGUCAAAAAUUCCAUGAUGACACAGAAUCUGAUUAUAUAUCACAUUUUACCUCCCUUCUGAAACUCAUUUUUAAGGUAGUGAAAGAGAGUAGGAGGAGAAUGAGAAUGCUUUUCUACUCAAGACGUCUGAAGUAAAUACAUAUUGUUCCUUCUGUUGUCCCAACACAAAUAGACUGAAAAAACUGCUCUGUACCAUAUCAGAAAGUUGGUAUCUAUGCCGUUACACUACUGGAACAAGAAGAGGCUGUAGUUAGAGAUACAGCUGCGGACAUUUGACCUUAAAGAUGAACAAGAUGGAAGAAGUUGAUUAGAAACCUGAAGGCAGGAACUCAUUCUAGAUAUACAAGUGCAUGCAGUAUGGACAUAUCAAAGGGAAUUAAUCUAUACAGAUACAGAUAAAAGAAGCAGGAACAACUGUAUAUAGGCAAUGGAUAAGAGAAGAGAGAAGACAAAAGGCAAGAAAGAAGUCAAAUACAAAUAAAAGAGAAUAUGAAAAGACUAUUGUAUUAUGUUAAUGCUAUGUGAAAUUAAAGUACUUUAAGAUCUUCGGAUGUAAGAUACUAUUUACAGUGAGAAGUUCUUGCUUGGGUGCAGGAGAGGAGCACAGAUGCCAGUCAGAGUCUGUGAGGACACCCACCUCUGCCCCUUGGUUUGGAAGGGAGCUGCACUGGAGCUCAACAAAGGCCCCACAUUCAGAUUGGCAGCGUGUUCAGAUUGGAUUUCCUAUCUACAGCUGCUCCACACUCCAUUUGCACCAUGUCCAAACAUCUGGCUUUAAUCUAUUAGAAGGCACCAUAACAAACCACCUCUGGCACCUCAUCUUCAAUCAAAAGAGGAAUGACUAUUCUCCAGAGUACCCAGCUCCACAUUGUUAACAUUCUGUCCCUGCCUAUCUUCACCUCACCUUACCUUAUUUUUUGUUUGUAUGAAGAAGUCUUUCCUCCUUUUGUAUUUUCUUUUAAUGGAAAUAAAAAUAAGAAAAUAAAAAAAAUCUAAAACUGAAUUCCUAAUUUUUCCAUCAGAGGUAGAAAGAGCAACUGUGUUUUUUCACCCUCUUUUAGAGGCCACUUUUAAAGCUAUAAAAAUAUUCUGUGUGGAUUGGACCAAACUAUGUUCUGGAGUAAACUAUCAAAGAUCAGCAGAGCUGCAUGGCAUUUCAGAUAGAAAGUUCAUGAACCUGUGUUCAAUUUGUAUGUUGUUUACCUGAUUUUUCUUUUCUUUUUUUUCUGAAUCCAUGCUUCAAUAUGUUAAUACAAAGUUCUGACUGUGAAGAACAAUGAAUAAUGACCAUGAUCAAUUACUGUUAUUUAUUACUAUCAGCACUAUUUUUUUACAUUGAUCCACAGAUCCCGCAAGAGUGAAAGAAAAAGAACUAACUUCUUCCUAAAAAGUAGUUACACUUUAAUCAAAGCAUUAACCACAAGUCACUAAUAAACUGAAAAUUCAACAUGAAAAUGCAGGAAUAGUCCCACCCCCCCUGCCCCCCCAAAUUUUAAAGACAAC